UAGGGAAUCUUCCGCAAUGGACGCAAGUCUGACGGAGCAACGCCGCGUGAGUGAAGAAGGAUUUCGGUUCGUAAAACUCUGUUGUUAGAGAAGAACAGCGCAUAGAGUAACUGUUAUGCGUGUGACGGUAUCUAACCAGAAAGCUACGGCUAACUACGUGCCAGCAGCCGCGGUAAUACGUAGGUGGCAAGCGUUGUCCGGAUUUAUUGGGCGUAAAGCGAGCGCAGGCGGUCAAUUAAGUCUGAUGUGAAAGCCCCCGGCUCAACCGGGGAGGGUCAUUGGAAACUGGUUGACUUGAGUGCAGAAGAGGAGAGUGGAAUUCCAUGUGUAGCGGUGAAAUGCGUAGAUAUAUGGGGGAACACCAGUGGCGAAGGCGACUCUCUGGUCUGUAACUGACGCUGAGGCUCGAAAGCGUGGGUAGCAAACAGG
Molecule: ribosomal RNA, 429 nt
Filed under: Bacteroidota bacterium
Lineage: Bacteria; Pseudomonadati; Bacteroidota
Description: Bacteroidetes bacterium partial 16S ribosomal RNA
Rfam family: Bacterial small subunit ribosomal RNA
Source: RNAcentral